Amphimedon queenslandica is the source of this 226-nucleotide long non-coding RNA. RefSeq lists it as uncharacterized. NCBI's taxonomy places the organism in Eukaryota, Metazoa, Porifera, Demospongiae, Haplosclerida, Niphatidae. The record is from RefSeq and is a predicted model, not a curated record. The transcript has 3 exons.
AUUUACUGUCAAAUUACAGCCUGGAGCUGGAUAUAUACUACCAGAAUAUCAAAGAAGAGGAACUCUUCAUAAAUUUUUCUUUUACAUGACCCUCAGAGAAAAGCUUCUUCUGCAUCCAUUCACACCAUUACAUAUGACAGGGAACUUCCAAACAUACAAGAUAUACCCAGCUUUUCUUCGUUUUUCAGAGCAUGCAUAUCCACGCUAUGACAGGCCAACCCCUGAG